Molecule: transfer RNA, 85 nt
Filed under: Clostridia bacterium
Lineage: Bacteria; Bacillati; Bacillota; Clostridia
Description: tRNA-Leu
Rfam family: tRNA
About the family: Transfer RNA (tRNA) molecules are approximately 80 nucleotides in length. Their secondary structure includes four short double-helical elements and three loops (D, anti-codon, and T loops). Further hydrogen bonds mediate the characteristic L-shaped molecular structure. tRNAs have two regions of fundamental functional importance: the anti-codon, which is responsible for specific mRNA codon recognition, and the 3' end, to which the tRNAs corresponding amino acid is attached (by aminoacyl-tRNA synthetases). tRNAs cope with the degeneracy of the genetic code in two manners: having more than one tRNA (with a specific anti-codon) for a particular amino acid; and 'wobble' base-pairing, i.e. permitting non-standard base-pairing at the 3rd anti-codon position.
Source: RNAcentral
GCGGAUGUGGUGGAAUUGGCAGACACGAUGGAUUUAGGUUCCAUUGCCAACCGGUGUGCAGGUUCAAGUCCUGUCAUCCGCACCA